Transfer RNA from Metarhizium acridum CQMa 102, 93 nucleotides. It matches the Rfam family "tRNA". Rfam says of the family: Transfer RNA (tRNA) molecules are approximately 80 nucleotides in length. Their secondary structure includes four short double-helical elements and three loops (D, anti-codon, and T loops). Lineage: Eukaryota; Fungi; Ascomycota; Sordariomycetes; Hypocreales; Clavicipitaceae. The record is from Rfam.
GGCCGCGUGGCCUAAUGGCUAAGGCGCUAGAUUUCGGUUAUCGUGAGCCGCCGAGCUCUCUAGAGAUUCCAGGUUCGACUCCUGGCGUGGUCG